RNAcentral lists this ribosomal RNA (251 nucleotides) under uncultured bacterium. Its description in RNAcentral is "partial 16S ribosomal RNA". It matches the Rfam family "Bacterial small subunit ribosomal RNA", at positions 83 to 334 of the family's 1533-position model. The record is from RNAcentral.
CACUGGUGGCGACCGGCGCACGGGUGAGUAACACGUGUGCAACCAACCCCGUACCGGGAGAUAACCCGCGGAAACGUGGACUAACAUCCCAUAAGACUCUAGAGCCGCAUGGCUCUGGAUUUAAAAUUCCGGUGGUACGGGACGGGCACGCGCGACAUUAGGUAGUUGGCGGGGUAACGGCCCACCAAGCCGACGAUGUCUAGGGGUUCUGAGAGGAAGGUCCCCCACACUGGAACUGAGACACGGUCCAG